Molecule: ribosomal RNA, 498 nt
Filed under: Mycaureola dilseae
Lineage: Eukaryota; Fungi; Basidiomycota; Agaricomycetes; Agaricales; Physalacriaceae
Description: LSU rRNA
Rfam family: Bacterial large subunit ribosomal RNA
Source: RNAcentral
UCCUCGCAAAUUAUCCUCAUAAGUUAAACGAUAAGAGGAAUCUACUAGAUCUAAUUAAAGUUUAAUUCUAAGUUAUAAUCCGCACUAGCGGUCCCAAUAUCGCAAAUCAAGAAUGAGAGUUCGAUGUGAUUGAAGGGUAAUCAUAAUAAUAAAGGUAAACUAAAAUUGAUAAAGUAUGGUUAAGAAAAUCGGAGGCCACGACUGUUUACUAAAAACAUAGGAAAAAGCAAACACGAAAGUGAUCGUAUUUUUUCUGACAUUUGCCCAAUGCCAUUAAUAUAAGGUAAGUCAUUGAAAAAUGUGACUUAUUGAAAAUCUGGUUAAUAGCGGUCUUAACCAUGAGGAUCCUAAGGUAGCAAAAUCAUUUGGCCAUUAAAUGUGGUCCGGUAUCAAUAAUCUCACGAUGGCCUCACUGUCUCUACAACUUGCUCAGUGAAAUUGAAUUACCCGUGAAGAUGCGGGUUAUCUUCAGAGGGACGGGAAGACCCUAUGCAGCUU